RNAcentral lists this ribosomal RNA (163 nucleotides) under uncultured bacterium. Its description in RNAcentral is "partial 16S rRNA". It matches the Rfam family "Bacterial small subunit ribosomal RNA", at positions 355 to 510 of the family's 1533-position model. The record is from RNAcentral.
UAGGGAAUCUUCGGCAAUGGACGAAAGUCUGACCGAGCAACGCCGCGUGAGUGAAGAAGGGUUUCGGAUCGUAAAACUCUGUUGUUAGAGAAGAACAAGGGUGAGAGUAACUGUUCACCCCUUGACGGUAUCUAACCAGAAAGCCACGGCUAACUACGUGCAG